GGCUCUGUAGCUCAAUUGAAAGAGCAUCGGUAUACGGAACCGAAAGUUGCAGGUUUGAGUCCUGCCAGAAUCA
This 73-nucleotide transfer RNA is filed under the name Spirosoma terrae. RNAcentral's name for it is "tRNA-Arg". It matches the Rfam family "tRNA". Rfam says of the family: Transfer RNA (tRNA) molecules are approximately 80 nucleotides in length. Their secondary structure includes four short double-helical elements and three loops (D, anti-codon, and T loops). Lineage: Bacteria; Pseudomonadati; Bacteroidota; Cytophagia; Cytophagales; Cytophagaceae. The record is from RNAcentral.